This 377-nucleotide ribosomal RNA is filed under the name uncultured eukaryote. RNAcentral describes it as "partial 18S ribosomal RNA". It matches the Rfam family "Eukaryotic small subunit ribosomal RNA", at positions 592 to 976 of the family's 1831-position model. The record is from RNAcentral.
CAAUAGCGUAUAUUAAAGUUGUUGCGGUUAAAAAGCUCGUAGUUGGAUUUCGGGUGGGAAUGGCCGGUCCGCCGUUUCGGUGUGCACUUGCUACGCCCACCUUGCUGCCGGGGACGUGCUCUUGAGUUCACGCUCGGGACACGGAGUCGGCGAGGUUACUUUGAGUAAAUUAGAGUGUUCAAAGCAGGCCUACGCUCUGAAUACAUUAGCAUGGAAUAACACGAUAGGACUCUGGCCUAUCUUGUUGGUCUGUAGGACCGGAGUAAUGAUUAAGAGGGACAGUCGGGGGCAUUCGUAUUUCAUUGUCAGAGGUGAAAUUCUUGGAUUUAUGAAAGACGAACUACUGCGAAAGCAUUUGCCAAGGAUGUUUUCAUUGA